Molecule: ribosomal RNA, 800 nt
Filed under: Rhodococcus sp. V2M30
Lineage: Bacteria; Bacillati; Actinomycetota; Actinomycetes; Mycobacteriales; Nocardiaceae
Description: bacterial SSU rRNA
Rfam family: Bacterial small subunit ribosomal RNA
Source: RNAcentral
AGCGGUAAGGCCUUUCGGGGUACACGAGCGGCGAACGGGUGAGUAACACGUGGGUGAUCUGCCCUGCACUCUGGGAUAAGCUUGGGAAACUGGGUCUAAUACCGGAUAUGACCACAUGCCGCAUGGUGUGUGGUGGAAAGAUUUAUCGGUGCAGGAUGGGCCCGCGGCCUAUCAGCUUGUUGGUGGGGUAAUGGCCUACCAAGGCGACGACGGGUAGCCGACCUGAGAGGGUGACCGGCCACACUGGGACUGAGACACGGCCCAGACUCCUACGGGAGGCAGCAGUGGGGAAUAUUGCACAAUGGGCGGAAGCCUGAUGCAGCGACGCCGCGUGAGGGAUGAAGGCCUUCGGGUUGUAAACCUCUUUCAGCAGGGACGAAGCGUGAGUGACGGUACCUGCAGAAGAAGCACCGGCUAACUACGUGCCAGCAGCCGCGGUAAUACGUAGGGUGCGAGCGUUGUCCGGAAUUACUGGGCGUAAAGAGUUCGUAGGCGGUUUGUCGCGUCGUUUGUGAAAACCCGGGGCUCAACUUCGGGCUUGCAGGCGAUACGGGCAGACUUGAGUGUUUCAGGGGAGACUGGAAUUCCUGGUGUAGCGGUGAAAUGCGCAGAUAUCAGGAGGAACACCGGUGGCGAAGGCGGGUCUCUGGGAAACAACUGACGCUGAGGAACGAAAGCGUGGGUAGCAAACAGGAUUAGAUACCCUGGUAGUCCACGCCGUAAACGGUGGGCGCUAGGUGUGGGUUCCUUCCACGGGAUCUGUGCCGUAGCUAACGCAUUAAGCGCCCCGCCUGGGGAGU